GAUGUGGCUAGGUAACAAGUCGUAUAAAAGCUCCAAUCCACAUUUUCAAAUUAGGUAGUACACAUUCAGUCGACACCAUGAAAUUCUUGUUGUUCCUUGUUGCCUUGGUUGCGAUUUUGUUCUCUUCGGCAAUUGCGCAAGUGCCUUGCGGAGGACUAUUUGCAUGCCAAAUUGGCUGCCCGGUUGGCGGCAAUAAUGCUUUUGGAGUGUGUCCUUACGGCCAGAUCUGCUGCCCUCUUGGAGUAGGAAAGUAGGACAGAGUGAUGUCAACCAAUCAGUUAUUAUAUAAUAUAAACUCCGAAACAAUGUUAUCAUUAUCAUCAAAUAACUGAGCUCAAAUGUAUAAAAUAGAUUUGAUUUAAAUAGG
Long non-coding RNA from Photinus pyralis (common eastern firefly), 367 nucleotides. RefSeq lists it as uncharacterized. Lineage: Eukaryota; Metazoa; Arthropoda; Insecta; Coleoptera; Lampyridae. The record is from RefSeq and is a predicted model, not a curated record. The transcript has 2 exons.